This 523-nucleotide ribosomal RNA is filed under the name uncultured bacterium. Its description in RNAcentral is "bacterial SSU rRNA". It matches the Rfam family "Bacterial small subunit ribosomal RNA", at positions 188 to 731 of the family's 1533-position model. The record is from RNAcentral.
UACACCCUACGGGGGAAAGAUUUAUCGCUGUGAGAUGAGCCUAUCUCCCAUCAGCUAGUUGGUAAGGUAAGAGCUUACCAAGGCAAUGACGGGUAGCUGGUCUUAGAGGACGAUCAGCCACACUGGAACUGAGACACGGUCCAGACUCCUACGGGAGGCAGCAGUGGGGAAUAUUGCACAAUGUUCGAAACCCUGAUGCAGCAACGCCGCGUGGAGGAUGACGCAUUUCGGUGUGUAAACUCCUUUUAUCAAGGAAGAAAUUUGACGGUACUUGAUGAAUAAGCACCGGCUAACUCCGUGCCAGCAGCCGCGGUAAUACGGAGGGUGCAAGCGUUACUCGGAAUUACUGGGCGUAAAGGACGCGUAGGCGGUAGGAAAGUUGGAUGUGAAAUCCUAUGGCUCAACCAUAGAACUGCAUCCAAAACUCUCUAUCUAGAGUGAGGGAGAGGUCAGUGGAAUUAGUGGUGUAGGGGUAAAAUCCGUAGAGAUCACUAGGAAUACUCAUUGCGAAGGCGACUGACUG